Molecule: ribosomal RNA, 174 nt
Filed under: uncultured Latescibacterota bacterium
Lineage: Bacteria; Pseudomonadati; Candidatus Latescibacterota
Description: uncultured Latescibacteria bacterium partial 16S ribosomal RNA
Rfam family: Bacterial small subunit ribosomal RNA
Source: RNAcentral
CCCGGGCUACACACGUGCUACAAUGGCAGGUACAGAGGGCUGCGAAGCCGCGAGGUGGAGCGAAUCCCAGAAACCUGUCUCAGUCCGGAUUGAAGUCUGCAACUCGACUUCAUGAAGGCGGAAUCGCUAGUAACCGCGAAUCAGCAGGUCGCGGUGAAUACGUUCCCGGGCCUU